UGUGCGAUCCGUCCCGAGUCCAUAGUCGCUCGCAGUCUUGGUUGCAGGGACCCUAAGUCCGUAGCCUCGUCUGAUUUCAUGGGCCCUGCAGCCCCGACUUCCCUAGACGGUACCACGACUCCUCAAGGCCCCCAGGGCUCUGGCUUGGGAGCCCCGUCCAAUGCGCGGCCCCUUUUCUCACCUGGGGACAUCUUCCCCCAACGAAACUCGCCUGGCCGGGGCCCCUGGGUUACCCGGGACUCGGGGCUAGGAUAGAGGGCAACCACACUGCUCAAGAGAUCGCAAUGAAGUCCGUAGAUCUCCAGGCUAGAGCCGCAGAGGGAGGUGGCACGGUGGAGAACGAGGGGCUGGGCGUGGACAGUAGCCCUGGGGUCGUCCGGAGUCCUCGCGCCCUCAACGCGCGAAGGCAGUGGACUGACAUCUGCGCCGAAGUCGCGCGUACCCCGGGGAGGGUCGGGACCCUGGAAAUCUCGGACGCCGCAGCCGUCCAGGGCAGUCAUCGCUUUUCCCAAGCCUGGGAGUCCGGGGCCCCGCAAGGUUUCUCCGCGCUGUGGUCUCUGGAGCGCAGUGCGGAGGGAGUCAAGCUCUCUGCCGGCUGUCAGGGGACAAGCCGAAAACAGGGACGUCUCUGCAAUGCGUCCGACGCCAGCCGUCCUGUCCUGCUGCCUCCGGGGGAUGCUGCAGCCCGGGUUCUCCCGUCCCCCCACGCUGCCCGGCUCUCGGCCUCCCCUGCUCCCCGCGCUGUAGGGUGGCGGAGGAUGGACCCAGGUUGACGCGCCGCGCUGGGCUGGGUACCUGGGAAGAGCGCCCGCCUCCCGGACUCGGAGUCGGGCACCUGUGAGAAAGAGGAGAAAAUUCAGGCCUGGUGCUCAAGGCUCAGAGAUGAGGAGACCUCCCCAUCCCUCCAAAUUCCUGCCCGCGGUGUUGGGGCUGACCUCCUGGAAGCUGGCCUCUCCCUGGGUAUUCCCCAGCGUUACGCGGGGCUGUGGAUCUAAUUUCAAUUCAUUUGAAAAACAAAAGGACCAACCCUUCCUGACUUUUGGCGGUGGAGGAGGCUUUUAGGUUGGGGCCAGCGGUUCGAUCGAUCCAGGAAAGAGUUUGGGUUUGGGGGUUAAAGGGCCCAGGUUGAGUCAGCGACUUACUGGUGGUGCAGCCCCUAGGCCUCCCAGAUCGUAGUUCCAAAUUUUAUGUAAAACAACUAAUUUAUGGAGCCAUUUAACAAAUGGCGGAAAGAAGUGAGAGACCCUCUGUUGGGACGUUGGCCUCUCCCCUUAGAAGUGAAGCCACUUCAGAAGUGGUGGGUGAACUGAAGGCAGUUCCCAAGCAGUGAAGAGAAAAGAAAUACCCCGAAAUGGUUCUUUGAGGUCGGCUCUUCGGCUGAACUCUGCCCCCUUUUUCCUUCCCCCUUUCCUAAAGAUUUCUAAUUUUUCGCAAAGGAAUGCUAGUAGUGGGAG
This is an RNA transcript of Mandrillus leucophaeus (drill), 1454 nucleotides long. It is a transcript of the gene named nascent polypeptide-associated complex subunit alpha, muscle-specific form-like, with no coding region annotated. The transcript has a single exon. Lineage: Eukaryota; Metazoa; Chordata; Mammalia; Primates; Cercopithecidae. The record is from RefSeq and is a predicted model, not a curated record.